This 493-nucleotide ribosomal RNA is filed under the name uncultured bacterium. RNAcentral describes it as "partial 16S ribosomal RNA". It matches the Rfam family "Bacterial small subunit ribosomal RNA", at positions 29 to 523 of the family's 1533-position model. The record is from RNAcentral.
AUUGAACGCUGGCGGCAUGCUUUACACAUGCAAGUCGAACGGUAACAGGUUAAGCUGACGAGUGGCGAACGGGUGAGUAAUGCAUCGGAACGUGCCCGAUCGUGGGGGAUAACGCAGCGAAAGCUGCGCUAAUACCGCAUACGAUCUGAGGAUGAAAGCGGGGGACCGUAAGGCCUCGCGCGAUCGGAGCGGCCGAUGUCAGAUUAGGUAGUUGGUGGGGUAAAGGCCCACCAAGCCGACGAUCUGUAGCUGGUCUGAGAGGACGACCAGCCAAACUGGGACUGAGACACGGCCCAGACUCCGACGGGAGGCAGCAGUGGGGAAUUUUGGACAAUGGGCGAAAGCCUGAUCCAGCAAUGCCGCGUGCAGGAAGAAGGCCUUCGGGUUGUAAACUGCUUUUGUACGGAGCGAAAAGGUCCUUUCUAAUACAAGGGGCUCAUGACGGUACCGUAAGAAUAAGCACCGGCUAACUACGUGCCAGCCGCCGCCGUAA